Molecule: long non-coding RNA, 1031 nt
Filed under: Anas platyrhynchos platyrhynchos (common mallard)
Lineage: Eukaryota; Metazoa; Chordata; Aves; Anseriformes; Anatidae
Description: lncRNA (ENSAPLG00000019917.1)
Source: RNAcentral
CAAAAUGAAGACUUUUGCUGGCUUCUGAGCAGAUGAAAGAUGUGGCCUUGUUUUCAGAACCAAGCGAGGUCUGCAAAGGGCAGUGAGAAAACAAGAGACAGAGGCAUCCUUGAGGAGACCACAGAGAUCGUCAGCUGCUCAAGCAGGACUUUGUGCCUGGGCAAAGGCAGAAGCCAGUUGGACUGCCAGAUUUUUGUUUUCCAGUUCCCAUGGCCAACCUUCAGUGUGCCCCUGAAGAGGACUGGAGGGCCAAAAGCUGUAUCCAAGGGCAAGGCCAUCAUCUGCAGCCCUCCUGGUCUUGGGCUCUGUCCUGGUUCAGGUCCCAGCUCUGGCAUUACAAACCCAGCGGUGCGUGAACCGGGGACAAUAACAGCUGGGGAGCUGCUGCGCUGCGGAUGGGCCCUUGGGAAGAGAGAGACGUGCCUGCAUGAAAGAGGUUUUCACUUGAAAGAGGGAAAACGCGGAUUGCAGAGGGGGGAGGAAGGGCUGCUGCUCAGCCUCCAGCAGCAGAGGGGCAGCAGGGUGCUGAACAGAGGUGGUGGCACUGCCACGCUCAGGGCUGGGUGCUCCGCCAGCCUGCUAGAAGCAAGGCUUGGACCCUUCCCUUGCCGGCCACUGCCCCCGGGGAGGGAUGAGGGGGUCAAAGAUUGCAGCUCAGGCAUUGUGCUCUGUUUUCUCGGUCCUUGGGGCAUUGCAGGGCUGCCAGACGUCUCACCCUCGGGUCAGGGCGGCAGCGGGCGCUGCCGGGCUGGUGACUGCGUGGGCAGGGAGGAGUUGCCCUUGCACAGCUAAAUGCCAGUGGCUGCAUUGGGCAGCUCCAGGAAGUUGCAAAAUGAGAGAGACAUCAGGAUAUAUGAGCUGGAGUCUUGCCCAAAGGCUUUCGUUUAAUUGUAAUGGUUCCUUCUAUAUAAAGUCACUUUUUUUUUGUGUGUGGCUUUGCAGCUGUGGACAAUCGAUGCUGCGGCAGCAUCGUGAUACCAUCAGGGUUUACCAAUGCAGCUUAUGUAGAAAUAAACAUUAUUUUUGGUACA